This 1917-nucleotide long non-coding RNA is filed under the name Callithrix jacchus (white-tufted-ear marmoset). RNAcentral describes it as "lncRNA (ENSCJAG00000080278.1)". The record is from RNAcentral. Lineage: Eukaryota; Metazoa; Chordata; Mammalia; Primates; Cebidae.
AUGGAUGAAUCUGGAGAACGUCAUCCUCAGCAAACUGACACAAGAACAGAAAAUGAAACACCUCAUAUUCUCACUCAUAGGCGGGUGAUGAAAAAGGAGAACACAUGGACACAGAAAGACUUGCCCUCUGAACAAGGCUGCAGAACACUACUCCUGUUCCAUGGUUCCUUUAAUACAACCUCUGAGAAAUCUGGUGCAUUACUUCUCAGGCCUUCUUCCAGUAAACCCGUAAGAGACUUCCCAACCUCAGCCUACUUUUCUGCAAUGGCUAGAAACAUCAGCAGAGCUGAUCCACUAUGCUGAUUUGCAUUUCUUACUCCCUUUCAUAAGAAAACAUUUCUGGGGGAGGACUCAAGAUGGCGCUGUGAGAACAACCCAGGAUUGGAGCUCGCAUUGAAUCCGCAAAGAGGUGAGUCAGAGCGGCAUUUCCAGACUGAUCUUUGUUUCCCAUAGAACGGGGAAACUCCCAAGUAUAAAAAAGACACGAGAUGCCAGGCAGUACGUCUGCCUGGCGAAGCUGGCAGCCAGGGCGGCGGCCGGCCCUACCCAGCAAUCCCCACAGGGCGCGCUUGUCCGGGUGCCCUGUUGAACUGGCAACCUGAGACUUGAGAGGGCUGGACUUGAGACUGAACGAGACUUGGACAGUAGGCCAGCCCAGGGGAUUGCAGGGACAGAGUGUUAAGGGUACCCAGUGGGACGAACAAAACCGCGAUUUCAAACUAUCCAGAGCAGACGGUCCGAGACGCUCUGUGGGGGAGGGGCGUCCACCACUAUGGAGGCAACCCGCCCCAACUGAGAUACACGCCCACUGCUGACGCAGCCUGCCAUUGCCAAGGCAAACCGUCCCUACUGAGAUACACGCCCGCUGCUGACAUAGCCUGCCGUUGCCGAGGCAACAUGCUACAACGAAGAGACUCUGCUGCAGGGCGUGGCGGAGACCACAGCAGAGCCUGCAGGAACAGGGCGAAUCACACAACAGCAGGGCGGAGCCUCGGCAGGCAAACAGUGGCAAGUCUGCCUCCUAGCUAGUCAGGACACCUCAACGGACAUCGAAAAAUAAAGCCCAAACCCCCCAACACAGAGCAUUAGAGAAAAAAAGGAUUUUUUUUAAUGAGCUCUGUUGCAGCAGAAUCAAACAUAGCAGCCUAACCGCCCUGAAUGAACAACAGAGCUCACAGCUCAGCAAUUGAGCUCCAAAAAAGUAGACUGUCUCCUCAAGCAGCUCCCUGACCCCUCUAUAUCUAAAAGACUGACAUUUGGCAGACAUCAUCCUGGGACAAAGAUAGCAGAAAAAGAAACUGGUAGCAUCCCUCACUGCGCCACAGCUGCUAGAGGUGCACCCCAGACAAGCAGGGCCUGGAGUGGACCUCAGCAGUUGUACAGCGAAGGGGCUAGGCUGGUAGAAGGAAAACCAAGUAACAGAAAUACUUCAUCAUCAACAAUCUGGGUGUCCACUAAGAGACCCAAUCGAAAAGUAAGCAACUACGCAGACGACAAGCGGAUAAACCCACAAAGAUGGGAAGAAACCAGCGAAAAAAGGAGGAAAACACCCGAAACCAGAACACCUUGCCUCCUAGAAAGGACCAAAACUCCUCACCAGCAAGGGAACAAAGCUGGACGGAGAAUGACUGUGACGAAAUGACAGAAUCAGACUUCAGAAGGUGGAUAAUGAGAAACUUUUGUGAGCUAAAAGAACAUGUAUUAAAUCAAUGCAAAGAAACUAAGGAACUUAAAAAAAAGAUAUGAGGAAACGAUAACAAGAAUGGAUAACUUAGAGAGGAAUAUGAAUGAAUUAAAGGAGCUGAAAAACACAAUACGAGAACUUCGCGAAGCAUGCACAAGUUUCAAUAGCCGAAUUGACCAAGCAGAAGAAAGAAUAUCUGAAGUCGAAGACCAACUCAAUGAAAUUAAACGAAA